UACAGAGGUCUCGAGCGUUGUUCGGAUUCAUUGGGCGUAAAGGGCGCGUAGGCGGCGGGGUAAGUCUGGUGUGAAAUCUCGGAGCUCAACUCCGAAAUUGCACUGGAUACUGCUCUGCUAGAGGGCUGGAGAGGAGAUCGGAAUUCACGGUGUAGCAGUGAAAUGCGUAGAUAUCGUGAGGAAGACCAGUGGCGAAGGCGGGUCUCUGGACAGUUCCUGACGCUGAGGCACGAAGGCCAGGGGAGCAAACGGG
This 253-nucleotide ribosomal RNA is filed under the name uncultured bacterium. RNAcentral describes it as "partial 16S ribosomal RNA". It matches the Rfam family "Bacterial small subunit ribosomal RNA", at positions 524 to 776 of the family's 1533-position model. The record is from RNAcentral.